RNAcentral lists this ribosomal RNA (951 nucleotides) under Triticum aestivum (bread wheat). RNAcentral describes it as "partial small subunit ribosomal RNA". Lineage: Eukaryota; Viridiplantae; Streptophyta; Magnoliopsida; Poales; Poaceae. The record is from RNAcentral.
AUGUGUACUCCGAAGAAGGAAGGGGGCAUGGGAUUUAGAGACCUUCAUAGUUUGAACCUUGCUAUGUUAGCAAAACAAUGUUGGUGACUAAUCCAGAACCAUAUUUGUGCACGUGUAUUAAGGGCUAAGUACUAUCCCGAUGGAAAUAUCCUAAAGGCUGGAGCAAAGAAUGGUUCCUCCUAUACCUGGCAGAAUAUUGUCUCGGGAAUUCAAACCUUUAACAGGGGAUGCAUUUGGAGAGUUGGAUCCGGAGCUGAAAUUAAUAUUUGGAGCGAUCCAUUGAUUCCAUCUAGCCCAAGCCGAAAAGUUAUAACUCCUAAAGGGAACAUCAUCCUAUCUAAGGUUGAUGAGCUCAUUGACCCCAACUCUGGUCCUUCAGAUGAAAUCCUAAUUCGAGACGUUUUUUUGCCUAUCGAUGCUCAACAUAUACUACAAAUCCCUUUGAAUGUGCAUUGCAUGGAUGAUUUUAUAGGGUGAAAUUACACAAGAUCGGUAACCUUUUCUAUAUGUUCUGCAUACCACCGAGAGUGGAAACAUCAACAUGGGCAACGGCGGUACAAAAUAGAUGGUCAAGGCAGGGUCAACCUGAAUUCAAUCUGGAAAGAAGUUUAGAAGUUAAGAAUUCCAGGGAAGGUUAAAAUAUUUGCAUGGGAAGUGUUGCAUGGGGUUUUACCAUGUUAUGGGGUCCUUUCAGGAAGGCACAUACGUACCCCUAUUCAAUGCCCGAUCUGCUCCUUUGGACCUGAGGACAUACAACACUGCCUCUUCAAGUGCGCCAGAGUAAGAGAUGUAUGGAAGGAUUUGGGACUUUAUGAUGAUGUGCAAAAAGCAGAUCUGCAAGAUAGGUCAGGAUCAGUUACACUUGAAAUUUUAGCUAAAAUGCAAUCAGUCACCGGAGGCUUGCCAUCUGCUGAACUAUCGCUAGUUGCUGCAUGGUUUCUUUGGUGGUAA